This is a long non-coding RNA of Oncorhynchus gorbuscha (pink salmon), 1916 nucleotides long. RefSeq lists it as uncharacterized. The transcript is spliced from 3 exons. Lineage: Eukaryota; Metazoa; Chordata; Actinopteri; Salmoniformes; Salmonidae. The record is from RefSeq and is a predicted model, not a curated record.
UACAACCAAGAAUGAUAAAGGCUUCGUUAUGGACAAAUGACACAACGGGUGACUUGGAUGCAAUUCUCCCGUUCUGCACGAACGUUUUUUCCAGCACACCGCGAACUAAACGUCCCGACAACUCCCCCGGGAACCGCAACCCACUCGCUACACAUUCUAUGUCCCAACAACCAACGCAUAACUGUAGCCCAAGUGCAUUGCACAGAAUCACCCCGGCCCAAGAAGGGCUACAGGGCUGAAAAUGUACGGAUUCUCUAUGGAGACGACUCCAACGAGACCGGCCCUGCAGAAUCAGGAACGCUUGAUGAAAAAAGUCUAGAGCCCUAGGUAUCCACGAUUCGUCAGACCAGCCACCGCCAAAAAAUCUGAGACUCCUCCCAGGUGAAAAAUGGCACAGAAGGCCACAUACAGCUGGGGGAUUCCGGCUCACCGAACAUUCCCAAUGAAACAACCAAAGCGGAGGAUAUCCCUGUUUUUAAUGACAUUUCAGAGGUUGACGACCAGUUAUUCUGUGAUGCGGCCAACCUUCUUGACCCCGACAAUUCUAUGGCGUCAACAUCAGGAUCUGAAAUAGAACAAGCAAGGUUUUUCACAUUAUUUUCCAGGGCUUUGAAAUCGAGGAACGUUUUGCUAUACAAACGACUGGGGAUUUUAAUUGAUAAUUGAAACUGAACGAUCUGUUAGACACGGCAAGAGAUUAUGGCGAACCACGUGAUAUCUUACAGUUGGAGAUUUGUGGAGAUAGCCUGCAUAACACAGUAUCUCUUAUUUUACCCAAUGGCGAAGCAGAUCUUGAACAAUUUAUCGCGCUGCUAGAACGCCUUGUUCAGUCAAAUGUAGCCGUCAUAGCAGAUCGGACCCUCAAGCUUGUAGUGCAAAUAAUACGUCAACCUCAGGGUGGUGGUGGGCUGAGAAUGAAGCUUGAUAUCCUAAUGCAGUCAGAAAUCAUAAGCAAUAAAAGGGCCUACCUCAUAAACGUUCACAAUCCAGAAAAUAAGCUAUGUUUUGCAAUAGGCCUAGCGCAUUUACUUAACCCUGGAUGUACUGAUCUGACGGCAUUGCAAAAGGCUAGAGAGCUCCAAACGGCCGUGGGUCUCGGUAUACAGGAUGCUGUGGCUUUCUCUGACAUAGUCAAAUUUGAAAACUUUCUGAAUAUCAAGAUUGUGGUUUUGUACCACAGUAGAGCUAAUGCAGCUCUCUUGAAGUUCCAAAACAACCCCCAACCGCAUCCUCAGAUUCUGUACUUUUAUGUGCAAAACGAACAUUACUACGCCGUUACCAACAUCACGGCGUUCAUAGGGGCACCAUAUGUGUGUCCAUCCUGCCAUACCGGCUACACCCGAAAGGGGUUAUAACUGUUCAGUAUGUCAGGAUGCAGAUUGCCCAAUGCAGCCCUUAAACUUGACACCCUGUGAGGAUUGCCACCGCACAUGUCGUUCGACCUACUGUUACGAACAACACAAAAUUGAAACAUGGCACCCCAAGGCAUGUAAAUCUGUAAGCAUUUGUGACAAUAACAAGAAAUGCCCAAAAUGUAAUUGCAAUUACAACCUUAAAAUAGAUAGCCCUAAACCGCACGUGUGUGGAAUCAUACAUUGUCCAAUCUGUAAAGGGUCUUUGAAAAGCAGAGAUGCUGAAGUGGUUCAAGGAGUACCACACGAGUGUUAUAUUCAGCCCUUGACUGAAGAUGAACAUUCAGAUAAAUAUGUGUUCCAUGAUUUUGAGACAAAUCAGCAAUCGGGGGUUAAUUUACCUAUUUUUGGAUCUACCAUGACUUUCAAGGGGGAAAAGUGGUCGGCAGAAGGAUCCAAUUGUGCACUACUCUUUCUAAAACACUUUACAAAACCACAGUACAGUGUCAUGUUUUGUCAUUUAUUAUCAUGUCUUGUCCCUGUGCUCCCCAUUCUAUUCGUUUC